GAUUGAACGCUGGCGGCAUGCCUUACACAUGCAAGUCGAGCGCGAAAGGGGGCAACCCCGAGUAGAGCGGCGGACGGGUGAGUAACACAUCGGAACGUGCCCAGUAGUGGGGGACAACCUCGAGAAAUCGAGGCUAAUACCGCAUACGACCCACGGGUGAAAGCGGGGGACCGCAAGGCCUCGCGCUAUUGGAGCGGCCGAUGUCCGAUUAGCUAGUUGGCGGGGUAAGAGCCCACCAAGGCGACGAUCGGUAGCUGAUCUGAGAGGACGACCAGCCACACUGGGACUGAGACACGGCCCAGACUCCUACGGGAGGCAGCAGUGGGGAAUUUUGGACAAUGGGGGCAACCCUGAAUCCAGCCAUGCCGCGUGCGGGAAGAA
Molecule: ribosomal RNA, 381 nt
Filed under: uncultured bacterium
Lineage: Bacteria
Description: bacterial SSU rRNA
Rfam family: Bacterial small subunit ribosomal RNA
Source: RNAcentral